GAUGAACGCUAGCGACAGGCUUAACACAUGCAAGUCGAGGGGCAGCACAGGUAGCAAUACCGGGUGGCGACCGGCGCACGGGUGAGUAACGCGUAUGCAACUUGCCUAUCAGAGGGGGAUAACCCGGCGAAAGUCGGACUAAUACCGCAUGAAGCAGGGAUCCCGCAUGGGAAUAUUUGCUAAAGAUUCAUCGCUGAUAGAUAGGCAUGCGUUCCAUUAGGCAGUUGGCGGGGUAACGGCCCACCAAACCGACGAUGGAUAGGGGUUCUGAGAGGAAGGUCCCCCACAUUGGUACUGAGACACGGACCAAACUCCUACGGGAGGCAGCAGUGAGGAAUAUUGGUCAAUGGCCGAGAGGCUGAACCAGCCAAGUCGCGUGAGGGAUGAAGGUUCUAUGGAUCGUAAACCUCUUUUAUAAGGGAAUAAAGUGCGGGACGUGUCCCGUUUUGUAUGUACCUUAUGAAUAAGGAUCGGCUAACUCCGUGCCAGCAGCCGCGGUAAUACGGAGGAUCCGAGCGUUAUCCGGAUUUAUUGGGUUUAAAGGGUGCGUAGGCGGCCUUUUAAGUCAGCGGUGAAAGUCUGUGGCUCAACCAUAGAAUUGCCGUUGAAACUGGGGGGCUUGAGUAUGUUUGAGGCAGGCGGAAUGCGUGGUGUAGCGGUGAAAUGCAUAGAUAUCACGCAGAACCCCGAUUGCGAAGGCAGCCUGCCAAGCCAUGACUGACGCUGAUGCACGAAAGCGUGGGGAUCAAACAGGAUUAGAUACCCUGGUAGUCCACGCAGUAAACGAUGAUCACUAGCUGUUUGCGAUACACUGUAAGCGGCACAGCGAAAGCGUUAAGUGAUCCACCUGGGGAGUACGCCGGCAACGGUGAAACUCAAAGGAAUUGACGGGGGCCCGCACAAGCGGAGGAACAUGUGGUUUAAUUCGAUGAUACGCGAGGAACCUUACCCGGGUUUGAACGCAUUCGGACCGAGGUGGAAACACCUUUUCUAGCAAUAGCCGUUUGCGAGGUGCUGCAUGGUUGUCGUCAGCUCGUGCCGUGAGGUGUCGGCUUAAGUGCCAUAACGAGCGCAACCCUUGCCACUAGUUACUAACAGGUAAAGCUGAGGACUCUGGUGGGACUGCCAGCGUAAGCUGCGAGGAAGGCGGGGAUGACGUCAAAUCAGCACGGCCCUUACAUCCGGGGCGACACACGUGUUACAAUGGCGUGGACAAAGGGAAGCCACCUGGCGACAGGGAGCGAAUCCCCAAACCACGUCUCAGUUCGGAUCGGAGUCUGCAACCCGACUCCGUGAAGCUGGAUUCGCUAGUAAUCGCGCAUCAGCCAUGGCGCGGUGAAUACGUUCCCGGGCCUUGUACACACCGCCCGUCAAGCCAUGGGAGCCGGGGGUACCUGAAGUCCGUAACCGCGAGGAUCGGCCUAGGGUAAAACUGGUGACUGGGGCU
RNAcentral lists this ribosomal RNA (1447 nucleotides) under Parabacteroides sp. RNAcentral's name for it is "bacterial SSU rRNA". It matches the Rfam family "Bacterial small subunit ribosomal RNA". The record is from RNAcentral. Lineage: Bacteria; Pseudomonadati; Bacteroidota; Bacteroidia; Bacteroidales; Tannerellaceae.